Molecule: ribosomal RNA, 1356 nt
Filed under: Triticum aestivum (bread wheat)
Lineage: Eukaryota; Viridiplantae; Streptophyta; Magnoliopsida; Poales; Poaceae
Description: partial small subunit ribosomal RNA
Source: RNAcentral
AUGGGUAAGAAGCUAGCUCUGAAAGAAUUGUAUGGUGAUUGGGAUAGCAGCUUUGACAAUUUGUAUAGGUUUAAAGCACAAGUUGAAACCACUUGCCCUGGUAUCAUAGUUCAGAUUGAUCAUUACACUAUAAAUGGAAAAAUCAGGUUUAGAAGGUUCUUCUUUUCUUUGAAACCUUGCAUAGACAGAUUCCUUGGUGGUUGCAGGCCAUAUUUGGCAGUAGAUAGCACAUUCUUAACAAGCAGGUUCAAGGGGCAGCUGGCUAGUGCUACCGCUGUAGACGGCCAUAAUUGGAUGUAUCCACUUUGUUUUGGAAUUUUUGAUUCCAAAACAAAUAAGAACUGGAUUUUCAUGCAAUUGCUUAGGCAAGCCAUAGGAUCACCAAGGGGUUUAGCCAUAAGCACCGAUGCCAGGCAGGCGGUGAUGACAAGGGUAAAGGAAGUUUCCCCAGAAGUAGAACAAAGGGAAUGCAUGUUUCACUUGGUGUCAAACUUCAAGAAAAAGUAUCACGAAAAGGUAUUUGAUGACCAUCUUUGGGCUGCUGCUUACUCAUGGAACACAUAUAUAUUUGAGAAAAAUUGGGUUGCAAUGGAAACAGCAAAGCCAGCAGCAACUGCAUAUCUUAGGAAGUGGCACACUAGGUUGUGGACUAGGAGUCAGUUCUCAACCAUUUGUAAGGUGGACUAUGUAACCAACAACCUGGAAGAGUGCUUCAAUAAUUGGAUUAAGCACCACAAGUCUUUGAACUUGGACGACAUAGACAAGCUUAGGCAGAUGAUUAUGAUCAUGUGGAAUCGCCGGAGAAAAGUAGCAAAGAAGUUAGUUGGCUUAAUUUUGCCCCACAUAAUUAAGAAGUUGAAUGCAAAGAGUAGAGAGUUGAACUUGGAGGUGGUAGAAAGCUCGGAAGAAGUUGCUGAAGUUACUCAAUUGGGAGGCAGUGGGUUUAGGUUUGUCGUCAACUUGCAUGACAUCACAUGCUCUUGUAGACAAUGGGUUUCUGGCCUUCCUUGCAAACAUGCUCUAGCAUUCAUCACAUCACUUUUCAAUGCACAUAUACAGAAUGACGUGGACUCGUAUUACUCCAUUGACAAGUUUAGAGCAGCUUAUGGCCAACUAAUCCCUGCUAUAUGUGACAAGACCCAGUGGCCUAAAUCUAACCAUGGAUUCUUCAUGCAUCCACCCUUGUUAAAAGCUGUUGUUGGUCGGCCCCAAACAGAGAGGCAUAAGGGUUGUAGUGAGAAAAACAGGAAAAGUGGCCAACAGUUAUGCCCUAUUUGUAAGGAAUACAGGCACCAUUGGCACAAGUGCAAGAAGGGGAACAAAGAUGACAUUGCUGCUUUGAUGGAGUUGAGGUAA